RNAcentral lists this ribosomal RNA (472 nucleotides) under uncultured bacterium. RNAcentral describes it as "partial 16S ribosomal RNA". It matches the Rfam family "Bacterial small subunit ribosomal RNA", at positions 28 to 507 of the family's 1533-position model. The record is from RNAcentral.
GACGAACGCUGGCGGCGUGCUUAACACAUGCAAGUCGAGCGGAAAGGCCCUUCGGGGUACUCGAGCGGCGAACGGGUGAGUAACACGUGAGUAAUCUGCCCUUGGCUUUGGGAUAACUACCGGAAACGGUGGCUAAUACCGGAUACGACAACCGUCUGCAUGGGCUGGUUGUGGAAAGUUUUUUCGGCCAGGGAUGUGCUCGCGGCCUAUCAGCUUGUUGGUGGGGUAAUGGCCUACCAAGGCUUCGACGGGUAGCCGGCCUGAGAGGGUGACCGGCCACACUGGGACUGAGACACGGCCCAGACUCCUACGGGAGGCAGCAGUGGGGAGUAUUGGACAAUGGGCGGAAGCCUGAUCCAGCAACGCCGCGUGAGGGAUGACGGCCUUCGGGUUGUAAACCUCUUUCAGUACCGACGAAGCGCCGAUGAUGGUGGUGACGGUAGGUACAGAAGAAGCACCGGCCAACUACGUG